AGACCCGAAACCCGGUGAUCUAGCCAUGGGCAGGUUGAAGGUUGGGUAACACUAACUGGAGGACCGAACCGACUAAUGUUGAAAAAUUAGCGGAUGACCUGUGGCUGGGGGUGAAAGGCCAAUCAAACCGGGAGAUAGCUGGUUCUCCCCGAAAGCUAUUUAGGUAGCGCCUCGUGAAUUCAUCUCCGGGGGUAGAGCACUGUUUCGGCUAGGGGGCCAUCCCGGCUUACCAACCCGAUGCAAACUGCGAAUACCGGAGAAUGUUAUCACGGGAGACACACGGCGGGUGCUAACGUCCGUCGUGAAGAGGGAAACAACCCAGACCGCCAGCUAAGGUCCCAAAGUCAUGGUUAAGUGGGAAACGAUGUGGGAAGGCCCAGACAGCCAGGAUGUUGGCUUAGAAGCAGCCAUCAUUUAAAGAAAGCGUAAUAGCUCACUGGUCGAGUCGGCCUGCGCGGAAGAUGUAACGGGGCUAAACCAUGCACCGAAGCUGCGGCAGCGACACUGUGUGUUGUUGGGUAGGGGAGCGUUCUGUAAGCCUGUGAAGGUGUGUCGUGAGGCAUGCUGGAGGUAUCAGAAGUGCGAAUGCUGACAUAAGUAACGAUAAAGCGGGUGAAAAGCCCGCUCGCCGGAAGACCAAGGGUUCCUGUCCAACGUUAAUCGGGGCAGGGUGAGUCGACCCCUAAGGCGAGGCCGAAAGGCGUAGUCGAUGGGAAACGGGUUAAUAUUCCCGUACUUGGUGUUACUGCGAAGGGGGGACGGAGAAGGCUAUGUUGGCCGGGCGACGGUUGUCCCGGUUUAAGCGUGUAGGUGUGUGUUCCAGGUAAAUCCGGUUCACUUUAACACUGAGGCGUGACGACGAGGCACUACGGUGCUGAAGCAACAAAUGCCCUGCUUCCAGGAAAAGCCUCUAAGCAUCAGGUAACAUCAAAUCGUACCCCAAACCGACACAGGUGGUCAGGUAGAGAAUACCAAGGCGCUUGAGAGAACUCGGGUGAAGGAACUAGGCAAAAUGGUGCCGUAACUUCGGGAGAAGGCACGCUGACACGUAGGUGAAGUGAUUUACUCAUGGAGCUGAAGUCAGUCGAAGAUACCAGCUGGCUGCAACUGUUUAUUAAAAACACAGCACUGUGCAAACACGAAAGUGGACGUAUACGGUGUGACGCCUGCCCGGUGCCGGAAGGUUAAUUGAUGGGGUCAGCGCAAGCGAAGCUCCUGAUCGAAGCCCCGGUAAACGGCGGCCGUAACUAUAACGGUCCUAAGGUAGCGAAAUUCCUUGUCGGGUAAGUUCCGACCUGCACGAAUGGCGUAAUGAUGGCCAGGCUGUCUCCACCCGAGACUCAGUGAAAUUGAACUCGCUGUGAAGAUGCAGUGUACCCGCGGCAAGACGGAAAGACCCCGUGAACCUUUACUAUAGCUUGACACUGAACAUUGAGCCUUGAUGUGUAGGAUAGGUGGGAGGCUUUGAAGUGUGGACGCCAGUCUGCAUGGAGCCGACCUUGAAAUACCACCCUUUAAUGUUUGAUGUUCUAACGUGGACCCGUUACCCGGGUUGCGGACAGUGUCUGGUGGGUAGUUUGACUGGGGCGGUCUCCUCCUAAAGAGUAACGGAGGAGCACGAAGGUUGGCU
RNAcentral lists this ribosomal RNA (1630 nucleotides) under Salmonella enterica. RNAcentral's name for it is "partial 23S ribosomal RNA". It matches the Rfam family "Bacterial large subunit ribosomal RNA", at positions 711 to 2322 of the family's 2925-position model. Lineage: Bacteria; Pseudomonadati; Pseudomonadota; Gammaproteobacteria; Enterobacterales; Enterobacteriaceae. The record is from RNAcentral.